GGAGGCGCUGGGGCUGUCCUGGGUCGUCACAUGCGAGAAAUCGUCUCACCCCAGCCAGUGUGACGGAGUGAGAGCAAAAGAAAGUUUUGAUAGCAGCGUACGAUUUAUAUUCAGCUGUAUGCUGGGCAGGUCCAACUUGGCAUUUCUUGGCUGUAUCUCUGAAGGAAAGUCAUCUUAAUCUCUAUGAGCCUCCAUUUCCUCAGCUGUAAAAUGGGAAGAUCUUCCUCACACUGCUGUGGUGUCUCGACUCCCCAAAGCGACAGAUGCUGUUCAUCUCUUGGCCUCUGUGUCAUCAUUCAUCCUUGAUUGUUCGGGGAAGCCCACUCCACCUCUGUGACAGACCCACAGAUGCAGAUUUACACAGGGAAUCCUAGACAGACACAAUGAAGAAACUCCCAUCUGAUCAGAGCCAAGUCCCAGUAAUAACAUCAAUGAAUCAUUGACUUCAGUGAGUCACAAUAUUGAGCUGGAAGAGGCCUCCAAGACCUUUUUAGUCCAACCCUUUACCUGCUAGUUAUUCACAAGUGAAUAGAAACUGAGUGAGGUCCAAAGAGGGAAAAUGACUUGACCAAGAUCACAAAGCUUGGUAAUGCCAAAGGUGAGACUGGAAGCCCCGAGCCCUGAGCCCCAGGCCCAUGCACUUUCCACACACCCCUCUGCCUGCCACAAACUAGCUGGCACAGAGAGCAGGAGGGAGGGCAUAGGCCCCUCAUGACUUAGCCAAGGGCAGCUCAGUGUCUCCAUGCAGGUGGACUCCGUGUGUCAGCUUCAGCCCUCCCUUGGGAAGGGAAGGGCCUGGGGCCGUCCUCACACCCCAGGCGCCAGGCCACGGAGCUAUAGGAGGCAGCUUCCUGCUUGGCCCUUAUCCAAGGCCAUUUCACAAUGGGGGGAAAAGCGCUGAGCUGAGAGUCCCGGGUUGCUGCUCACUCCACCCCCACUCCAGCCCCUUUCAGACCCCCCAGGGACAACGAGCCAGGCCCGGCCUGAGGCUUGGGGUGAAGAGAGCUGCAAGAAUGGAGACAGGCUGAACAGCCCCUUUUGGGAGUGUUCUAUGAGCUGUGUCCCUGGAACUGGACGAGGGCACCACCUUGCAUAUUACCAGCACUAUCCCCCUUCCCUUGCCGUCCACCUGCAAGCAUUCAGGCUGGGGAAGUCCCUUCUGGGACAGGAGUGGUCGCUUCCAGUCAGCCCCAUAGCACUCUCAUGAUUAGUCAGAGGGGAACCUGGAGGCAAGAAGGCCCACAAGCUGGGAGACGGCAAGGCCUGGGUCACUUCCUGCAGUGAGGCAACGUGACUACCAGGCAGAGGAGCCCAAAUGUCUCCUCCCAAGAUGCUACAGGGUCUGGGGUGAACUGUGGCUCAGCUGACUGAAAUUCAGGCAGGAACCAAGACAGAGACACUGAGACGGGACAUUCAGCCAGGAUUUAUUAUGCCCUUACACACAGGGUCGGCUCUGAGCUCAGCUCUGUAAGGGAUCUCGUUUGAAGUAGGAGGCAGUGGUUAAGGACCCAAAUCAUCCUGUCUUCAAGUCUUGAAGAGGAGACAAAACAAACCUAGGUGAAAUGUCAAACCACAAGACAAGGCAGUGUGAAAUGAGGGCCCACACUCUCAUGCUGGACAGUCCAGUAUGGCCAGUGAAGCGGGGGUGGGGAGGGAGUCACUGCAGACAAAGCUUCGGGGAAGAGAUGGAACCGAGAAUGAUGGGGAGAACUUGACUCUGCAGACAGGAUGGGAAAGAUCUUUCAGACAGGGAAAGGAAGACAAGGCAGAAAUCAACCUGCAUACGUGAGGACAGGACCCUGUUUGCACCAGGGGUGGUCAGCCACGAGGCUGGAAAUGUGCCUGGCCACAGGGCACUUCCUCACUCUGAGCUCUUGCUACUUGAACACAGCCUUCCUUGGUAUCCGUGGGAAGUUGCUGGCCUACUGAGGCAGGAUACCACACGGAGAACUAGGCAGGGGCGUGGAGGUGUCAAGGAACUCAGCCCCUUGGUGGAGGAGCCCUCUGACAACAGGAAGCAGCUGCAACGGGCUCCAGGGCUGUACUGGUAUCUGCAACUCUCCCCCUACCCUGGCUGCACCCUGCAGAACAAACUGUUCUUCAAGAAGUUCUGGGGACAGAGGGCCCACACCUGCUCCCAGGUCGGGGUGGAUAAACCCCCAUCAGCCAGGCUGGGAGCCCAGCAGAGACAUCACACAGCUCAGCAGCCCUCCUCACCCCCUGGCCCCCUGCCUCCUCCUACCCCAGACCAGGUUGCAGUUGACUAGGGCAAUAUAACACAAAACAAGAGCUUUAUAUUAUUAUUAUUAUUAUUAUUAUUUUAUAGAGACUGGGGUCUCACCAUGUUGCCCAGGCUGGUCUCAAACUCCUGGUCUCAAGUGACCCUCCUGUCUCAGCCUCCCAAAGUGCUGAGAUUACAGACAUGAGCCAUGUUACCCAGCCAAGAGCUUUGGAGAGGGAAAUGAGAACUGAAUCUUCAUAAAUACCUCAUCCUGGAACUUCCAACAAUGUCUCCAAAAAUAGUACCUAAACUCCAGGCCUCAAACUCUAAAUUGAGUGGGGAUGUGAAGUGGUUGUGGCCUUACAGAAACAGCACUGGAGUGGCAGCCGAAGUGCUGAGUUCUAAUCUGAAUUCUGCCACUCAUUGGCGUGGGACCUUGGACAAGUCACUUUUUGCCGGACUUGAGUUUCUUCCUCUGUAACUUGGGGAGUUGGGAUUGAGCUGUAAAGUCCCUUCCAGUUUUAAAUGUGAGACUCCAAUGCUGUCAGGUAACUUUGGGAUUGCUGUAAUGACUGUUUGGGGGCUAGUAUAGCUGGGAAAGAAAUUAGGAUGAGAAUCCAAUUGAGGGCAAGAUAAAAUGGAAUUGUAUUCUAUUCAGAACUUGAAAUAGGAUGGGAUUUUGUUUUCCCCAGAUCCUCACCAUAAAGAGAUUUGGGAGAAAAUCUUGGGAGAUUUGGACUCAGAAUAUCUUAAGAGGUAGUAUUCUAGAAGAUUGCCCAACACUUGGUGGGGAAGAGCAAGAAUUCUUCCAGAUUGCUUGACAAGCAGAACAUGGGGAGUGGGUCACAGUAAUACCAGGAAAGACACAUCCCAUCCUCCCAACCCUCUUUUCCACUGAAGCUGCUCCUUACAAUUCCUGUAACUGGGGACCAGGCCUUUCAUUCCAGUUACAGCUAAAACUUAACAUGGCCAUUUAAAUUUCCCUGAGGGUAUAAAUGGCUAAUAUUCUCUCCUUCUAAGACCCAGCAUAUGCUGAGAGAGGCCUUCAGAGGAGGUGGGGGCUGGAAGAAGGAGUGAAGGUGGAGGCCCAAAGAUCACGCAGGAGCCAUGCUUUUUCUGAAGCCAGAUCUAGGCCUAGCAACUCAGAGCAGUUCCCCGUGGGCAGUGAUGUGGAAGAAGGCCCUGGGCUUCCUAAGUGCCUCUAGGUCACUUUGUGAAACCUCUCACAUGGGCCUGCCUGGGAGGAGGAGCCCAGUGUAGCCCCCACCUGUCUGCUGCCUGCUCAUCUUCCAGGGUGUUGAGGGGAUGGGUAGCAUGGCUGUCUGCCCCCACCAAUUACCCACAUGGCUUGGGUCAACCAGACUCUGUCAGAGCUGUUGAAGGAGACAUAAACCUAGGCUUUUGGAGGCAGCUUCAGGGAAAGGUGGAGUGUGUGAGGUGGAAGGUGGGUGAGAAAGUGUGCAAGGGGGAACACACUGUUCUCUACUGGCCCUUUGCCAAACAGCAAGGGAGAGAGGAGUAACAAGGCCAGACUAUGGCCAUGUUUAGUGGUUUUCAACUGCGGCCCAAAAUGAGGCAGACAUAGGCUAGGCAUGGUCUAGCCCUUGUGUGUGUGUGUGUGUGUGUGUGUGUGUGUGUGUGUGUGUAGGGGGAGUGUGAGGAAGUUGUGAGGGUGUGUGGUGUGUGGGGGAGUGGUGUGUGUGGGGGGUGUGGUGUGUGUGAGGAGUGUGUGGUGUGUGGGGGAUUGUGGUGUGCGGGGGCGGUGGUGUGUGUGGUGUGGGGUGUGGUGUGUGCGUCUGUGUGGUUGUGUGUGGUGUGUGGGGAGGUGUCAUGUGGCAUGUGUGGGGGGUUGUGUGUGUGUGAGGAGUGUGUAGUGUGGGGGGGGUUUGUGUGUGCAUGGUGUGUGUGCGCGUGUGAGGGGGUGUGGUAUGCAUGGGCAGUGGUGUAUGUGGUGUGUGGGGGGUGUGGUGUGUGGGGGUGUGUGGUGCGGUGUGGGUGUGUGUGUGUAAGGAGGUAGUGUGUGUGGAUGUGUGUAGGGGGUGUGGGGUGAUGGUGCGUGUGUGGUAUGGGGGGUGUGGUGUGUGUGUCUGGAGUGGGGAGUGUGUGGUGUGUGGGGAGGGUGGGGAUGUGUGUGUGGAGUGUGGGGGUGUGUGGUGUGUGUGUGGAGUGUGGUGUGUGGGGAGGGGGCGGGUGUUGGCCUGGGUGAGCCCUGGCAAUCGCAGCAGAGAAGAUGCCAAAAUUUUGUAUUUACUGUCAGGGCAAUGAUGCUGGAACUGCAGAUCCAGCGCCCCGAAACCCGGCCCAUCCCAAGACACUGCUUCUCACAGCCAACAGAGGAAGGAGGGAGGGGGAGAGGCCUGAAGCCGAGGCUUCUUCUUGAGGAAUGCUCGCCAGGCCAGCAGCCUUCCUCACUUCAAUGCAGCCUUCCCCUUCUAUCCACCGAUGAGCAUUUAGCGGGCAACUCCUUUGUCCAGGGCAAGCCUUCCCCAGGUCUCUCUCUUCAAAAGCAGAUGCUACCUAGUGGGAGGUGCGGAGUUAUACAUGCAAGAAAGGGCUACAGGACAGCAUCACUAGUACCAAGCUGUGAAGGAGGUGGACUUUGAAGGGAAGAAAGAAUUUAGAAAAACAGACUAGUGGACUAGUUACUGCGGGGAGCAGAGUGCCAUUUCAGGCAGGAGAAGGAGUGUGAUGUGAAUCUUAGGGAAGAGUCCUCUUUGUAUGUUCUGACAACUAUUCUCUGACACCAACGGGGCAUCCUGCAAUUGGAUUCAGUGUCAAUUCUGACACUGACUACCUGCAGUUAGUGCCUGUGAUAUUGUGAAACAGGUAUUAAUUAGGUCUUCAUUCCUGACAUACAACUCCUAAAAUCCUUGGAAUCUCCUAAGUUUUAAGUGUCUUUUUGCACGCUAAGCACCUAGGUAGCUUCAAGAUGGGAGCUGGCCGCCAGAAAGAUCAAGACAGGGUUAGAGGAUUGGGACUUUCAGCCCCACCCUUCAACCUCCAGGGAGGGAAAAGGGGCUGAAGUUUAAGUUGAUCACCAGUGGCCAAUGGUUUAGUCAAUCAGGCUUAUGUAAUGAAGCGUCCAUAAAAACCCAAAAGGGCAGGGUUCAGAGGAUUUCUUGAUAGCUGAACACGUGGGGAUUCCUGGAGGGUGGAGCACCCAUGGAGGUUAAAGAAGCUCCACCCCUCCUCCAUAGCUCACCCUAUGCAUCUUUUCAUGUAUAUCUUGUGGACUAUCCUUAUAAUAAGCUAACACAUGUAAGUAAGUUGUCCCUGAGUUCUGUGAGCUGCUUUAGUGAACCCCAAUUAGCUGGUCAGACAGAGCAGCGGCGAAACAACCCAGGGCUUGCACUUGGCAUCAGAAGUGAGGAGAGGGGACUGAGUUCUCAACCUGUGUGAUCUGACACUGUCGGCAGGUAGAGUCAGAGUUGAACUGGAGGAUGCCCCACUAGUGUCUGCUGCGGAAAUGAUAGCUUGCUUGGUGGCGGGGAGAGACCCCUGCCCCCCCAUGUGGUGUCAGGAACGUGUUGAGAGAGCAUAGUAGGAAAAACCGAGUUUGGUUUUUUUACAGUGUCAGACUCCACAAGUUAAAUGUCAAAGUCCCCAAGACUACCCUUACUUCAGAACUCAGGCGCACGCAGGGUCCACAGGCUACUGGCACUUCUGUCUGACUUGACUACACAUUUGAGUUCUCACCACCCAAACUUAGGGUUCAGUAGUUGGCUAGAAUGGCUCACAGAACUCACUGAGCAUGCUAUACCUACAAUUAGUUUUAUUAUCAUAUAGACUCAGAACAGCCAAAGGGAAGAGCUAUGUAGGGCAAGGUGUUGGGUGGGGGCGGUGUGUGUGCAGAGCUUCCAUGCCCUCUCCUUGUGGAAUGUGGUAUGUCCCUCUCCCAGCACAUUGGUGUGUUCACCAACCAGGAAGCUCCUCGCAGUUUCAGUGUCGAGUUUUAUAUGGGGCUUUACUCCACAGGCACCAUUGAUGAAAUCAUUAACCACAUGACGAACUCAAUCUCUAGUCCUUCCCUCUCGCCCCAGAGGUUGGCGGUGCAGUAGGGAUGGGAGUAGGGAUGAAAUUUCCACACUCUGAUCACAUGCUUGGUCUUUCUGGCAUGGCCAGUCUCUCCCUUAAAAUUAAGGGCCCACCUUGAGUUGCCUUCUUAUCAUAACCUGAGGUAUGAUGGAAAUGCUCAUUACAAAUGACAAAAGGCGUUCCUGUCACUCAGGAGAUCCCAAAGGUUUUUAAAGCUCUGAGCCAGGAAAGGGGGACAAAGACCGAAUGGGCUUUUUAAAAAGUCAUAGCAGAGAUUGUAAUGGGCAGUUCCUAGGGAAAGGAAGUGGGAGCUGAGGAUGGAAAGGCAGGGUGGGGCAGAUGUAUAAGGUCAGAAGUUGAUGGGUACGGGGAGGAGAAAUCAGCCCUGCCCUCCUAAGGAAGUGCAGGCAGAGGAGAAGCAGUAGACACCACUCCCUCACUUGAGUGUCUUGGGGGAAUCUUUCACUCUUCCAGUAAGUUUAAUUUUCCCCUGGGUAGUUCGUCCAGGAGGAGGCAGCCUUCAGUUUCUGCUUUGGCACCAACGUCCCCACAACUCAGGUCCAGGUUCCCUCGUGCAGCCUCCUGACAUUCCCCACAGUUCAAAUACCACCUCCUUCUAGAAGGCUUCCCUGAUUACCCAAGUGGGAAAAGACCCUGCCCUGAAUUCUGAAAGCCCUUUGAAACCGUCCCCUACUGCCCCGCGGGGACGUCAAGACAACUUACUGUGACUCAUUCCUAUCUCCCCAGUUUGAUCCUGAGCACUUUGCCUUACCCCUUUCUGCUUCGUUCCAAACAGCCGGCACUGUGUGCUUCAUAGAACAUUUGUGAGCUCUGCAGACAUUCUGUCAUCAUCGGCCCCUCCUCUGCCCCUAACCAACUUGCUACCUUCCCUUGCAGAGCCCUGCCUCUGAAUAGAGUGUGAAUGUCUGCCCUGCCAGCCUGUGAGCUCCUCCAGGGAAAGAAUGUGUGUCUACCUUCCAAGCCUGACAAGCAGUGGGUGCCCAUGUGUGCGGAGUGAACUCAGUCACUUUUCUCCUAGACGGCGUCACCUUUCUCACAUUUAGGGAAAAUCAAGUGUAAGGGAAUGAGUUACUUAUUCUCGUAGAAGAAUGGGAAGAGUGAGAAGAAAGUUGGGGGUGAAGCAGGACUCACACAAAGGCAAGGCUGGCCUCUUCCCGCAGGGGCUGGGUCCCCCUGGGCCUCUUGCCAGGACACUGUUCUCGGUGGGUGCUCCACCAAGACGCAGGUAACUGGCAAGAUGAGAGAUCAGACCAACCUGGACCUGUGACAGGCAGGCACAUGGGCAGCAUGAACAUCCCACUAGCCUCUGGGGACAGCAUGGCAGAAAGGAGCCAUUCUGGGAAACUGUGAAACUUUCCCCUUGAAUGGCUUCCAGCCCCUUUAACAACCCCAGAGCAGCGUCCCAGCCUUGGUGAGCUGGGGUUUACUCACUCACACUCACGGUUACCACGCAGAGGCCCAGGCUGAGGGGGAAGGAACCGCCUGCUCAGCCCCCACUGAGGCCGGCCCGGUGCUCCUCUUGGCAUCACUCUGAGGGUCCUCAGUGGGCAGACCCCAGGUGGGGUGAGUUGCACAGCCCAAGAAUGAAGCUCCCUUCUGCCUCCCCUGGGCAGGUCCCAUGACUUGGAGGAAAUUGCUCCAGAGAGUGGCAACUAGACAUGAAGUGGGACACGGUGCCCAGGGUUUCUCAGUGGCCUCUGAAGCCACCCAGAGUCAGUGAGAGUAUCUUGGCCUCUCUCUGUGGGCUUCAGGGCCUCUCAGGCAGGUGUUUGUCUCUGGGAUCCCUGGAUCACGAGCCCUGUGACUCUUCCACGGCCAGCUUCCCACCCCACACCCCUGCUGAGCAUGUUACCCCGCAUCCUGGGGGAGCCACCAUUUGGGAAUAGAUUGGAUGGAGAAGGCCUGCUCCCAAGAAACAGUUAAUCCUCUCCCCUUCCCCCAGGCCCCUUGCACCUGCAGGCUGUGGUGUGUGGUUUCCCACAGCUGCAGCUGGCUCUGCAGAGCCCCUCCCUUCGAGGGAACCUGAGAGGCUCAGGGCCUGAGGCGCCAGGAGAGGCUCCUCGCCCUCUGUCCAGCUGCUGGGGAUGGCAUGAGAGGGCCUUGCUGCCCUCUGACCUGGACAUACCACAAGAGUGCUCUGGUUGAGUGACCCAUAUGUGAUUCCUGGCUUGCAAGCCAAAGGCAGAGAUUCCAGUUUGGGAGGUCAGAGAGGUUUCUGAGAAGGGAAAUCAGCCAUGAGGCCCCCCAGUCCUGGGCUUGCUCCAGCUCUGCUGCCUUCUGGAAGAAGCUGACUGGCCUGGGUGUGGGCUGGGCAUUCCCCUGGGGUAGGAUGCAGGGCUCCAGAAAGAGAGGGUGAGUGGAGGGUAAGAGGUGACUGGGAAGGACCGGGAGGAACAGGAGGAAGUGAGAUGUGGCAGGGCCAGGCCUCUGCUGGUCAAGACAGCCUUGAAGCCACGGUGCUACAACUCUGGCAGGGUCAGCCCUCUGGCUAUCCCAGAAGAGGGCAGGUUGCCACAGAGCCUGGGCAAAUACCCAGCUGCCCUCUGAACCAGGUGUUCCAGGGACACCUCCGAAUACUGCUUACACUGAGACAAUGAGACAAAAAGUGCCAGCAGCUUCCUGGCUGGGACACACCUUCAGGAGCAUUAGCCUGGAGCAGAGGCUGAACCCAUCCUAACAGCUUGCCCAUGUCCCCAGCCCCGGGCUACCGGGCAAGUGCUCACAUCCCCUGGGGACAGGUGGAUGGCACACAGGGUCAUGGCGGAGGGCUGCUCACUGGGUCCAGAGCCAGGGUCUGGGAAGAGGGAGGGAGAUGCAGGAAUCUGACAGGCUUGAGCCUCACAGGGCCCAGGGCUCUGGCUUCUCUCAGAUCCAGCUCUGGGCAAUGUUUCAGUUCAACACUCUCCCUGGGAGGCUGUGUAGCCUGGGGCUCAGGGCUUUGGUGGCGUCCUGUCUGCAGAAAAGCCCCACUCCCCACUAAGAGACAACUCCCCAUACCAGAGCAGGAAGAGAGAGGGCGAUUGAGCAAAGGAGGCCUGAGGGGAAACAGAGACACCCAUCUACAGGAGCCCCUGAGUCAGGUGUGGGAGGAGGGAGAGGCAGGGCCCAGCAGAAGCCACCGUUUGCGCCACACUCCUCUACCUCAGGCGGAGACCAGCUGCAGGGUGGCAGCCAGGGUUUGGAGGAGGUGAGGGAGCGUGCCGGCCCGGCACCCAACAGGCUUCAGUCUUGGCUCCCACACAGCUUGAUGCUCCUUUCGGGGUAUAACUGAUGCCAACCACCCAGGGCCACUGCCAGGAGUCCACUGUGUACUCAGACUGUGCUUGGCCCAUUCGCAGCAGUGCCACAGGGCCACAGGCGCAGAGCUCUGGCUGGGAGUCACUGCCAAUUUACAGUUUGCCCUCAGGUGUGUGGAGGCAAAGCCCUAUGAAAGAUUAGCUUUGCGCUCCGGAGGAGAGGGCGCAUGGCAGGUGAUCUGCCCACCAUGGCUUAUUUGUGGCUUCAUCACUGUGAUGACACUAUGUUUGGCAUUUACUCAUUAUUGUUAUCCAGACCCCACGUUAUCAAGAAAAGUACAGGAAAUCUGCCGUUGGGAGAGCGGCAGCACCCAUGUGGAGUGCCACUUUCUGAUCUGGGACUUAAACAACAUUGCUGUUUUCCUCCUUGCUCCAAGUCAUCCAUUUUGACAAUUUUAUAUCAGCAUGGACCCUUCACCAAGACUGAAAUAACUCUGUUAUUGAGUGUUGGGAACACGGAGAUGAAUAAAACAAGGCCCCUGUCCUGGGAGAGCCGAGAGGCCACCUGUCAGCUGACAUCUUAGGGAGGACACCAUCUACAUCCAACCCUGACUACUGAACACUUCCAGUUUCUUGGAAGAAAGAUUUUAAAAUCUUCAGAAAUGAGAACUCCUCCAAAUAGGAUUUUCAUUUGUUUCAUAUAUUUUAAAAUUUUAUAUUUUAAUAUGUAACAGUCAUAUGGUUUAAAUAUAAAAAUGACAUCAGUGGCUCAGUAAGAAGUUUUCCUCCUAAUUUUUCCCUAACAGUUCCCAAUUUCUGAUAUAAAAAAUGUUAUAUCCUUGCAGGAUUUACUUAGGUAAAUACAUGUUCUUAGUUUUCCUCUUCAUUAUUCCAAAGGUUGUUUACUGCAAGCAUGGUUUUUCUUGCUCAUACAUCCUGGAGAUUGUCCCAUAUCCACACAGAGAAGGUUCCCCAUUUUUUUCUUACAGCCGCAAAGUGUUCCUUGUUCUAAACCAGGUUUCUAUUGAUAGUACUGGGUGGCUGGUCCUCAAUCUUUUGCUCUCAGACUGUGCCAUGUAUGUCCUUUCAGAGGGGGGCAGGUACAUCUGUAGGAUGGGUUCAAGGGUUUGUAAUUGAGAGAGAGAUUGCAAAUUGUCCUCCACAGAGGUUGCACUGCUUUCAUCCCCACCAGCAAUGUAUGAAAAGGCCUGUUUCCUGUUUUCCCUAUCAGGCUGAUAUUUAUUUAUUUAUUUGUUUAUUUACUUAUUUAUUAGAGCCAAGGUCUCACUCUGUCACCCACGCUGGAGUGCAAUGGCGUGAUCAUAGCUCUCUGCAGCCUCAAACUCCUGGGCUCAAGUGAUCCUCCUGCCUCAGCCUCCUGAUUAGCUGAGACUACAGAUAUGUGCUACCACACCCGACUAAUUUUUCACUUUUUGUGAAGACAGUGUCUCGCUAUGUUGCCCCGGGGUGUGGGGGGAGUUCUCUAACUCCCGGCCUCAAGCAAUCCUCCUGCCUCUACCUCCCAAAGUAUUGGGAUAAGCUAAUAUUUUUAAAGAGAAAGGAAGGAGGCAAUAUGAGGCCUCUAAAGAAGAGAGGUAGGAAGAAGGUGAAGCCCAGAUGCCUGGAGCACACAGAGCUGCAGCCACUGCCUGCAGCUUUGCUUAUGAGGGGGAUUGAGUUUCUUCAGGCCAUGAUGUUUGAUUUGUGUUUGGAGCAGUAAGCCUUACAGCUGAUAAAUGGUUUUUUUCUCCUGGGGGAGCACGAGACUCUAGGAAGAUAAUCUAUUAGGAGAACCUGAGGGAAGAGAGUUUAGUUGGUGCAUGUGGGUGUGAGGUUGUUUCUCGGUCCCUUCAGGCUGCUAUUGCAGAAUACCAUAGACUGUGUGGCUUAGAAACAACAGAACUUUAUUUCUUACAGUUCUGGAGGGUGGGAAAUCCAAGAUUGAGGUGCCAUCAGAUUCGGUGUCUGGUGAGAGCCUGUUUCCUGGCUCAUAGACAGCACCUCUCACUGUCCUCACCUGGUGGAAGGGUGUCGCUGGGGACUGAGUGUCUUCAUUUUUAUCAGUGCUUCUUUUGUAAGGGCACUAAUGCCCUUGUGCGGGCUCCACCCCCAUGACCUAAUCACCUCCCAAACAGCAUCACCUCAGGGAUGAAGAUUUCAACAUGUGAAUUGUGGGGGACACAAGCAUUCAGAACAUAGCAGGUGGCAUAUGAAAGUGCAGACCACCAUAUCCAGCAAAUACAUAUGCAUUUCCAAUAGUCAGGGGAAGAGACAGAGGGAGAGGUGGAGGAGGGUGGAGAAGAGGACAAUCUUCUCUGAGGAGGUAACGUUUGGGCAGAAUCCAAUUCAUAGAUCUGGGAAGAAAAGUUCCAGCAAAGGGACAAGCAAGGGUCAAGAUCCUCAGGGGAAGGAGAGGAGAGGGGCCUGCUCAAGACAGUGAGUGACCUUGGAGGAAUUGGGACAGGGAAGGCAGUCAGCAAAGCUGGGAGUCGGGGGGGUGCUGGACCAUGGGGAGCCUGGAAGGCCAUGGCAGGGAGUUUGGGGUUUAUCUUAAGAAUAAUGAGAAAAAGAAACUGGUCAGAAAAACCACAUAUUGCAUUUUUCCAUUUCUACAAAAUAUCCAAAAUAGACAAACCCAGAGAGACAGAAAGCAGAUUCGUGGUUGGCUGGGGCUGGGGAGAUUGGGAGGAAAUGGGGAGUGACUAAUAAUGGGUGCUGGGUUUCUUCUGAAGGAUGAUUACAAUGUUCUAAAAUUGAUUGUGGUGAUGGUUGCACAACCCUGCAAAUAUACAAAAAAAAAAAAAAGCCCAUUGAAUUGUAUACUUUCAGUGGGUGAAUUAUAUGAUAUGUGAAUUACAUCUCAAUAAAGCUGAUUUAUUUAUUUAUUCAUUUAUUUAUUUUGAGACAGGAUCUUGUUCUGUCGCCUAGGCUGGAGUGCAGUGACGUGACACAAUCACAGCUCACUGCAGCCUCGACCUCCCAGGCUCAAGUGAUCCUCCUACCUCAGCCUCCUAAGUAACUGGGACUAUAGGUGCAUGCACCACCAUACCCAGCUAAUUUUUAAGGUGUUUUUUUUUUUUUUGUAGAGACAGGGGUCUCACUAUAUUGUCCAAGCUAGCCUCAAACUCCUAGGCUUGAGUGAUCCUCCUGCCUUGGCCUCUCAAAGUGCUAGGAUUAUAAGCGUGAGCCACUAUGCCCAGCCUUGUUAUUUUUUAAAAAAGGAUUUUAAAAAAUUAUAAAAAGGAUAAUAGGAAGCUGUUAGAGGGUGAUUUAAUCAGCAGUAACAUUCUCACUCAGGCUGUUGUGGGAGAACAAACUGUAGGGAGGGGAGAGUGGGGGCAGGAGAUGGUUGGGAAGCUAGUGCAGUCGGCCAGGCAAGGAGCAAUAGUGACUUGGCCUGGGUGGGUCACUUUGUGAUGAGGAUUAAUGAAAAGGCCAGACUGGGGUAUUUUUUGAAGCUAGAGUUUGAUAAUUGGUUGUGAGGGGUGGGAGAGAGAGAUGAAUCCUGGCCAUUUAACUGCAGUGAAAAGACUGGAGGAAUAGUUGGACAAGCGGAGGGACGGGGCAUACGAGUUCUGUUUUGAACAUGACAGGCCUCCGAGGUGUCCACUAGGCAGACGGGAUGUCAGGGCAGGGUUACCACCAUGUAGAUGGUCACUGCUAAGAGCUGGGCACUCCUCCAAACACAUACAUUAAAUCAUUUAGUCUUCUCAGUAACCUAUGAGGCGAGAGCUGUAGCUAUCCCUGUCCAUAGGGGGCGUAUCCUGUGUGCCAUUUCAGAUGCCCGCGGCCUCACCUCUUGUUCCAGCCAUUGCCCCAGUGACCAGUUUUGCACAGGUCUUGACCAGUGCCGUGUAAAUGUCGCCUGGCAGGGCCUCUCCACAUGCCUCUCGCCCAACACCAUGAUGGGGGGACACCCAUGGAACCUGCUUGGCAUUAACACAUGAGCCGCCCAGAAGUGAAGGGGAGCUAACAUUCCAUGGGAUGACUCGAGAGGAGCCAAUGGAUAACUGUCCCCCUUCUUCCAGUGAGUUCUGAAGUACGUUUCAUAAAGCUUCACAGAAAGACUGAGUGGUGUUCACUCAGAGAGAUGUUAACACACUCCCAUAUUGACUCCCCCCUUUCUCUGUUUCAUUCCUCCUCCCCCUCACCCCUGCUCCCUGGGAUCAUGUUCCCAAAUAAACUACUCAUGCUUAAGCCUUUGUCUCAGGCCCCAUGUAAGAUCUGAUCUUACAUGGAGAAUUUAACAGCAACAACAUCACACCAGGGGCAUGCUCACCAGGGGCAGAGCAGGGGUUCACACCCCGGCAAGCUUCUCUACUCGCUUCCAUGUUGCCUCUCAAAGAUCCCAACCUCUAGAGGACAUUUAAAGGCACAGGCCUAGAUGGAAUCUAACCAUCUAACCGGGAGAGACUGUAAAUAAGAAAAAAGUCCCCACACCAUGCUCACAUUUAGAGAUCAAGAAGAGGAGGAGCCAGCGAAGGAGCCAGAGAAAGAGCUGCCAUCCGGGUAGGAGGAAGCCAGACCAGUGUGGAGUCCUGGACUCCAAAGAAAGACAGCGUUGCAAGGAGGAGCGAGUGCCCUACUGUGCAAACGCUGCUGAGAAAUUGAGGAGGUGAGACCAGGAGACAGACCUUUUGGAUGCGCCAGUAGGAGGUCACUGGUGACUUGGACAAGGGCAGUUUCAAUGGAGUGACAGAAACAAAAACUUGGCUGGUGUAGGCUAAGAGGGAAUGGAGGUGAAGAUUCGGAGAAGUAGCCAGCAGGGACAACCACUUCAAGGAGGGGUGCGUAAAAGGGAGGAGGAAGUGGAGCAGAAGCUGAAGAGGGUGUAGGGUCAAGGAAGAGUUUGUUUUGAAAGUGAGAGAGAUCAUAGCGCAGUUAUGUGCCGAAGGGAAUGGUCUGGCAGAGAGAAGGAGCUGGAUAGUGCAGGAGGGAGAAAGGUGAUUUCAGGCAGUCUUGAGUAAGUGAAGGGAUAUGGUGCACAAAAUGAAGGGAUUGGCCAGGGAUGCAAGAGGAGGCCAUCCCUCCAUCUGUCCAUCCAUCUAUCCAUCUGUCCAUCUGUCUGUCCAUCCAUCCGUCUGUCCGUCCGUCCGUCUGUCCACCCAUCCAUCCAUCCAUCCAUCUGUCCGUCUGUCCAUCUAUCCUUCCGUCCAUCCAUCCAUCCAUCCAUCUAUCCAUGCAUGCAUCCAUUGUGAGGAAGAAAGGUAGCAGCGGGCAUAGAUGCAGGCACCUUGGGAGAUCUGAUGGUGAGAGGCACGUACGUUCCAGCAGAUGACAUUUAGUUUCUCAGCAAAAUAAGAAGCAAGAUCUUUAACUAACAGCGAGAAACUAAGGGAAGGUGUUGAGGGUUGGAGAAGAUGUGAAACACUUAUCUGGAGAGUGGCGCAGUGAAUUUAGUAGAGAAAUAUAGUAAGAUUACUGGGCAAGCUGAGCGCCCACUUGAAGUUUGUGGUCAGAAGCGUCAAGUGCGGCUAUUCAGUAUGACUGUGAGUUUCCCCGGCAAUGCUCAGCUACUCAGUGCAGGUGCAGGGUGUUGGGUUUAAGCAGGGUGGAGGCUGUGUCAGGAGAUUCCAAAUGAAGGGAAAAGAGCAAGAAAGGAGAGGGCUUCCACAAAUGGGUGAUUCUUGUCAAGGCCUACAGAAUUGAGCUGGAGAAGGGGGUUGAAGGCAGUGAAAAAGGACAAGUUCAAAGGCAGGGAGUUCCCAAAGGGGACACAUCAUUGAAUGGAGGUAAUAGAGUAGAUAAGCUGAGAGCCGAGGAAGGGGUGGUCAGGGAGCAGGGGGUUCAGAAGUGCUGAGGCAAAACCCUGGCCAUGGGAGUGGGAGGCCCAGGCAGCAGAACGAGAGGUGGAGAGUGAGGAGGCCAAAGACCAAGAGUGGGAGGUGCUGGGUGGACAUCUACAUGGAUGACCUUCCUUGUCCACCAUCUCUUAAACAGCUCCCCAUCCUGCCACUACCCCUUCAUCUGCCUUUUCCUUUCAUAGCCCCUCUGUCUAACAUUAUUUUACGUAGGACUGGUUCAUUGGUUAAUUAUCCUUGCUGCCAUCAGAAUGUAAGCAUCUGAGGGCAGGGACAUUUUCUCUCUGGUCUACACUUAUAAACUCUUUUCUAAGAACAUACCUGGCACAGAUUAGGUGCUCAGAAACAUGUGCUGGACAAAAGAAUGAAUUAAUGUUAAGGUCUAGGAAAAGCAUGGAGGAGUGGUGGUGGAGAGGAAGACCGUGGGCCAGGUACUAAAAUCUGUGAAUGAGCAGGAGUGGCCUAGAGUAUGGUAAAUACUAGAAGGGAUGGUGGAUGGUCUGGUCUGAUGGCAUAGCUGCAAAGGAGAUGCAGACUUAGGCUGAGGAGGAAGGGGGAGAAACCUACAGGUGGCCAUGAAAGCAGGGAGGACAACUCGCUGCCUCCAGGCAUACUGAUGUGGAAGAAGAAAACAGAGCCAAGACAGGAGGUGGCUGCAAGGAAGCUGUGUGUGGGGGUCAGGCAGGUUUGCAGUAGAACAGGAUGGUGAAAGGAAUGUUCAAAGGGAAAGUCGAGUGGAUGGGGAGAUUUUGCUGAUGACAAACCAUAAGUUCCCGAGAGCAGAGUGAAAGGAUCUGGGGGAUUGUGUCAGAUUAGGGGAAUAGAGCUACAUGGGGGUGAAAGUCUUGGGGGUGAAGGAUGAACAACAGUGUCAGGCUUCUGGAGGUGUCUAGGGACACAAGGCCACAGGGCAUGAUGGGCUCUCCUGAAGGUCUCUCUUGGGCAAGUGGGUACCCCUGCUCACGCCAGCUCCUCCUCCAGCCAGGGCCCACGGGCCAUGGACCACAGUGAGGCAGUGAUAUUGGCGUUGGAGGGGCCUUGCCAGACACUGAGUGUUCGGGGUGGGAGGAGAGGGCAGCUUUGGGUAUUGGAAGGAAAGUCGAGCAGGCACUCCGGAGACUAGAUUCUCAUCCAAAUCUUUCCUACAAACCAUGACGUAACAUUGGGCAAAAUGGUCAUGAUUUUCCUUAUCUAUAAAAUAGAGAGGAGAGGAGGUCUCUCUUAGCUGUGCAAAUCCUGGCCUCUGUCUCCUUCUUUCCCUGACUUCUUCUAGCUCCUGUCUCCUCAGCCCUCCCGACUUGUAGCUAAGCCCUGGCUUUGUAUUAACCACCCUCCUGCUGUCAGCAUCGCUGAGAGGCAUAGCCAAGGCCUGCCCUCUUCCUCCUCCCUGGCUCCAAAAUGCUCCAUGCACUGUCCCAUGCCACUCUGAUCCUGAGCAGCCAAGUGGGCAGAAUGACACUCCUUUGGGCGUGGAAGUGAACAUCAGCCAUGAGUAGGGAGAGGAAACUGCCCACAGAGAGGGCAGACUCCAUCAGGGGCAAGUGACAAAGCCACAGACUGGCAUGAAGAGGCUUCCCAGGCCCUCUGGAAGGCAGUGAAGCCAGCAGCCUGGCUCCUGGGAUGGGCUGUCCCCUAUUCAGCAGCUCCAUGGGCCUGGAAGUGGGCCCAGGGAGCCAGCCAGAAGGAGGCUGUGGCCAGAGGCUUGAUUUGCAGCCCAGGACUAGGACGCAGGGUUCUCAUCCAGGCUUCACCCACAGCAAAUGUGCGACUCUCCCUGGCCCUCUGGGUGGGGAUUAUAAUAACUACCUUGCUUACCCCAGUUGCUGGAGGCCAAUAUUCACUGAACAUUCAUCAUGAGUCAGGCAUUCAGUAAUCCUCACAAUGGCCCUAGAAAUUGGCCUGUACUAUUUUCAACCCUUAGGGAGGAGGUGACAGACACAUAGAACAUCUAAGUAACUUGCCUGACACUCCACAGCUUGUAAGUGGCAGGGCCAGGCUCUUAGCCCUAAACCAUACAUUAGAGAUUUAUUAUCAUUUAGGUCCCUCAACAAUCUUGUGAUGCAGGUAUUACCAUCCAUUUUACAAACAUGGCAAUGGCUCAGAAGUCUUCAGUUAUUUGCCCAGGGUCACUUGGCUGACUGUAGCAGAAUCAGGAUUUGAACCCAGGCCCAACUUCAAAGCCAGUCCUCUUCUCAUUGGGUUGCGCCCCCAGCAUUAGCACAGGGACAGUUCCUCAGGCUGACUGCCCAAGGCCCCAUCUGUGCAAACAGGAGAGGAAAUGGCAGCCUAACUCCAGGCAGGGCCCGGGCUCAGAAGGGGGUCUACAGGGCUGAAGAGGCAGCUGGCCAGAGAUUCCACAGGAAGCAUCUUGUUGACACAUCUUCAUCACUUUGGAAUUUGAGCAACAACAUUUACCCCUUCUGAAACUCACCCAGAGGAAGCGGAUUUUCUGACGCAUAUGAAGAGUGAGAACUGUCUACAUCUAAGUCUUCUUUGAGAACAAUACCAGCUGAGCGGCUAUUUACAUUCCAGCUUCUUUUGAGAAUCUCUGAAGAUGAUUAAGUCAUUGUCAGCUGGCCCAGAACCAUAUCCUGCUCCACAAGCCUCGUCCUUGGCAAGAAGUUGCACCUGCCCAGAGAGAAAACCUUUUGAAACUGGCACAAAGGCACUGGAGAGACUGGCAGGGCCCCCUACUUGACGAUCUGGCUCAUCCAUCUGCACACUGACCACGCUAAGAGCUGUCUGCAGUGAUGGAAACCUUCUCUAGCUGUGCUGUCCUCUAUAGUGGCACCAGCUGCCUGUGGCUACUGAGCACUUCAACUGUGGCUGCAGAGACUAUGUUAAAUUGUAUUUAAUCAUAAUUAAUUUAAUUGUAAACAACUACAUGUGGCUAGUGGUUUCUGUACUGGGCACUGCAGGUGCACAUUUCCUGCUGGCCAUGGACAGUAAGCUCCAUAAGAGACUAAUUGUGCCUGGUUUGCUUAUAGGCUUAUCCUCAGCACCUGCACCAGCCUAGAAUAUGAUUGGCACUCUAUUAAUUAAAAGUUCCCAGGUAAAUGAAUUAGUGGAUUCUCUGUUUCCUCCACUAUGCCACAACCUCCUUAAGGGCAGAGAUGGUGUCUUCAAAAAAAAAAAAUUCUGGUCAAAAACACAUAAGAUCUACCACCUUCACCAUUGUUGUGUCCAGUUCAGUAGUAUUAACUACACUUACAUUGUGAUACAACAAAAGAUUGUGUCUUUUUACAUUCUUAGGACCCAGCACAGUGUCUGGCACAUAAUCUUAGUAAACACUGGCAGAGCACAUGCCUUUGCCAAGGCCAGAACAGAGGUUCAGUGCCAUCCAUUACCACCCUUUCACACAUCCACUGGGGCUUUAAAAACAACCUGGAAUGAAAGCUGUUGAGUCUAGAGAAAUGGGCUACAAAGAAGGUUUACAAGAUAAUCUAUUAAGAAUAGGGAAUACAGGCCGGGCACGGUGGCUCACACCUGUAAUCCCAGCACUUUGGGAGGCUGAGGUGGGUGGAUCAUUUGAGGUCAGGAGUUCGAGACCAGCCUGGCCAAUGUGGUGAAAUCCUGUCUCUACCAAAAAUUAUCCAGGCAUGGUGGUGCGUGCCUGUAGUCCCAGCUACUUGGGAGGCUGAGGCAUGAGCAUCGCUUGAACCCGGGAGGCAGAGGUUGCAGUGAGCCGAGAUCGCGCCACUACACCCCAGCCUGGGUGACAGAGCAAGACUCCGUCUCAAAAAAAUAAAAAAACCUAAAAUAAAGCUUAAUACACAUGACAUAUGGAUUGGCAGUCACACAUAAAUAUGAUUGAUAAGGAUACAAAUAUUUGGAGGUGCUGCCUGACCAUCUGUUGCUGAUUAUGUGGAGAUCACUUGUCUAGGACCCUGAGAUAGACUGAUGUUUCUAACUCUGCCACACACGGUCUCUCCCACCCUCCAGACACUUUCUUCCUUCAGUUCAGGGAACCCUCAAUACACAGUAAGAAUGAAGAGGUUGCAGGUCUGAGCUUGAGGAGGACUGGACUAAAAGGAGUUUAGCCCUGCCAGGGCAUUCCGAGGACUGUGAAGAUCCGGAAUAUUGGCCACAGGCAUCUAUGUAUUUGAAUCAUAUCCAUUUUUGAGCUCACUCCUAGCAGAGGAGUCAAAACUUACGUUCUGGCCCCCAGGUACAUUUCCAGUCUCUUACUCAUAAAAUUGUGACAUACCCCCAGGGGUGCCCAAAGGGGUUUGUGAAUCAAGAUAGUUUGAGGAGAAUCGAUUUUCUGAUCCUCAGUUUUUCUAUGCUCUUUUUCCUAAAAGCGAUAUUCCUAAAAAGGCAUCCAAGACAAGGCAUCCCCUUUCCCAUUUGCUGGGGAAGACAGCUUUACAAGAGAAAGCUGCCCCUCUCACCCAUGUGACCCCCCACUCUGGGGCACUGCCCUAGGGGUAGAAAUCUCCAAGGCAUCAAACAAAGUGACUCCUGGGGGUCAAGUGACAGAGGAGCAAGUCUUUCUGCAAGUCAAGUGGUUUCCAGCUCUGCUUUCAGCAAAAUUGAAAGAGGCACUAAUCAAAUUGCCAGCGGAUCAUAAAAAAACAUUUUGAUAAUAAUGUUAUUAGGCAUAUAACUUGGAAGAAGUUCAAAGAAUUGAAUGGCAUCCUCAUAACAAACUCAUCGGCUUCCAUUUAUUUAUUUAUGUGGACAGUGUUUCUCAAUGUUUAAACCUACAAAAGACUAAACAUGGGAGUAAACUUCAUGUUGAACCUUGUGUGAGUCUAGCAAUAAGUCAUCCACAUAUACAUACACUAAUUGGGAAGAAAACCUGUCCCAACCCCAACUAUUUUAUUAAGAGAUGCAUUUCCAAUAAAAAUUUACCUUUUAUGUUUAAUAGUUGUUUAUCAAAUUUCGUAAUUAUUUACAUUGCUCUGAUCAAUUGGAUAUAAACUAUUCUAACACUAAACUCAUAACCAAAAAAUUAAUGCUCAGCUUUGGGAACAGAGGAAUUUUUUUUUUUUUUUUUUUUUUUGAGAAGGAGUCUUGCUCUGUUACCCAGGCUGGAGUGCAGAGGCGCAAUUUCAGCUCUCUGCAACCUCCACCUCCCGGGUUCAAGCGAUUCUCCUGCCUCAGCCUCCCAAGUAGCUGGGACUACAGGUGUGUGCCAUCACGCCUAGCUAAUUUUUGUAUUUUUAGUAGAGACAGGGUUUCACCAUGUUGGCCAGGAUGGUCUUGACCUCUUGACCUCGUGAUCUGCCCCUCGGCUUCCCAAAGUGUUGGGAUUACAGGUGUGAGCCACCAGUCCCGGCCAGAAGUUUUAAUCUUUAAAUUUUAUUUAAUACAAUAAUCAAUCAAAGAUUUUUCUUUCUUUCUUUUUUUUUUUUUUUUUUUUGAGACAACUUCUCCCUUUGUUAGUCAGGCUAGAGUGCAGUGGUGCAAUCAUGGCUCACUGCAGCCUUGACCUCCUGGGCUCAAGCCAUCCUCCUGCCUCAGCCUCCCCAAAGUACUGGGAUUACAGUCAUGAACCACCAUGCCUAGCCAAUAAAAGAUUUUCAAGCAUAAAAAAUAAAUACAGGCUGGGUGCUGUGGCUCACACCUAUAAUCUCAACACUUUGGGAGGCCGAGGUGGGCGGAUCAUUUGAGCCUAGGAAUUGGAGACCAGCCUGGGCAAUAUGGUGAAACUGUGUCUCUACAAAAAAUACAAAAAUUAGCAGGGCAUGGUGGUGCAGGCCUGUAGUUCCAGCUACUCAGAAGGCCGAGGUGGGGGAAUCACCUGAGCCCAGGAGAUUGAGGCUGCAGUGAAUCAGGAUCACACCACUGCACUCCAGCCUGGGCAACAGAGCAAAACCCUGCCUCAAAAAAAAAACAAACAAACAAACAAAAAAAAACCCUUACAUUAGCAUAAAAUCUGUAACAGGAGUGAAAUGGAAAUACAAGUUCUUGGAGAGAACGAAAUAAUGUAAACUUCUAAGCUGUUUAAUUAGCGUUUGUUCCCCUAUUUUUUUUAAUGGAUAAUGUUGGACACAGAAUUGCUCUGGCAUUUAGAUUCCAUUGGACAUUUAAAAGAAAGAUACAAUUUGUAUUUGAAAAUAUCAAUAUUCAUUUUUCUUUGAAUUUUUUGACUAUAAAAUAUAAUAAAGGCAUAUAGAAAGUGAAAAAAUAUUCAUAAAAUGCUAAAAAGGAUAUCCUUUGGAACUAUUUAAAUUUCUGAUGGAAAAUUUCAAAUGCCAACUUAAAUACAAGAGGGUAGGUCAUGUAAAAAAAUUAUUUAAGGGGCUUUGAAGGCGGCUGUCUGGGGAGUUAAGGUCUUGUGUCUCCAGUGCCCUCUCUCACCCCUAAGGUACUGGGUGGGCCUCUGGAGGUACAUCUGCCUAUACAAGGAAUCUUUGAUGUAGCAAAAAAAAAACACAAAACACAAAAAACCCUCACAGCAUGCCCUGCCCUUGGGCUCUGGAAACCACCGUCCUGCCUGCCCCACUCCUGCUCUCAGCCCCCUCCUCAGGCCUAAGCCUCCCCAACCCUCCCCACCCCCCACCCCACUGCCCCACCCGCAGUCCACCCCGCUGUCGCCUCCCAGCCCUGGCCCGGCCAGCCCUGGAGUAAAUAAACCACCGGGCAAGGACCCAGACAAUGGGCCUUGGCAAGGAGUUAAUGGGCUGGGCCUCUCGCGUUAGCCGAGUGUGACCGGAGCUGGCAGGGGGCCUGGCCUGGCGCCAGCAUCGAUUACGACCAGACGGAGCCAGGGCAGACUUGGCACGAAUGGGCCCCACAGCUGGCAGAUUCAGUCACCCUGGCCACAAGGGCACGAGGCCUGCCCUGGGCGCCGGCUGCCACCGCGGCUGUGCUCCCUGCCACCGCCUUCACUGCCAGUGUGGCAGGGCCGCUUGUCAGGCACUCAGUCCCUAGGCCCUUUUGGUUCUCCCCAGGGGAUUGUCCCUGGUCAGGCCUCUUCCUGUCCCAGGCUGCCUCUGAGGCUGCUCUGUGGCCCCACAGACUGGGUGCAGAGCGGGGGUGGGGUAGGGGGAGGCUGAGGGUUGGGCUGGGGGAUGCAGCUGUGACGCCCCUGCCCCCGGCACUCCCACCACUCCAGGACAGAGGGAGGCUGCUGAGCCAGGCUGGUGUUGGUCAGCAGGAAGAACAGGUGAAGCAAGCCUCAUUUCUGGUGUCCAGAUGGAGGACAGGGUCUUUCUUCCCCUGUUUCUCAGAAACCUUUGUGGGCCUGGGCUCUGCUCUGGCUCGGCAGCUCCACCCUGCAGGGGGAUUGGCCGGGUGGCAGGGACCACCUGAGGGCUCACUGCGUCCCUGCUAAGAAGUUGUUCGAGUCAGGGUUUGCAAGCGGGGCUUGCCUGGGGGAAAGGGCAUUUCUUGCUUUUUGGGUUUACUGCUCCUCCCAGGCUCUCUGGGUCCCUCUCCCCUGGGCGAUGGGCUGUGGCAUAACGUCCUCAGGGCAAGGUAACGGCUCCAUCUGGAGCUGAUGGCUCCUCCAACGCUAAGGAGCUCCAUGGACCCAGUCUUGCUGAGCAAAGGUUUCUUUGGCUUGACUGCUGGAAGACAAAUCACACCACUGGGCAGUCUCCAAAUUUUAGGGGAUGGUCAGUAUCUCUCUGAGAGAGAUACUGAGAGGUCCAAAAAACCCCACAGAGGAGAGAAAACACCAGGCCACAUACCCAGAGUGACAGCCCCUGCUCUCUGAGGUCACAGGUGGAGAGCAGGGGAGGUCAGGCCCUGAGGGCUGUGGCUGCUGGAGCCAGCUCCACCAGGCCUGAUAAUCCCUGCAGAUGAAGCCGGCGCCCAUCCCAGUAGGCAGUGGUAAUCCCCACCCAACCCCACUUCCCCGGGGAGGAAGCUGACACAGGGGUGAGGGGGCACUGGAAACACGGGAGAGCAGAGGAAUGGCAGCUGGGGCCCUUACCCCGGCACCAGCUUCUGCACCUGCCCUGAGUUUCCCUUGUCCCCCUCCAGAAGCUCUCAGAUCUUUACUUUUUUGUGAGCUCUGUUCUCAGAGAAAGUUCUAAUACAUGUAUAAUACCAACUGGCUAACUGAGUGGGGUGGGUUGGGGCUUGGGGGGCUGGGGAAAUGUGUGGCCCACCAAAGGACACUAACCCAACAACCCUGCGGAGUUGUGGUCUCCAAACUGAAAGAGGACACAGUGUCAGGUGACAAACAAAACUGGCCUGGAGCCAGGCAUGGUGGCUCACUCCUGUAAUCCCAACAUUUUGGGAGGCCGAGGCUGGAGGAUCACUUGAGCUCAGGAGUUCAAGACCAGCCUGGACAAUAUAAGGAGACCCCUGUAUUUACAAAAAUUUAAAAAAUUAGCUGGGCUAAUGGUGGUGCAUGCCUGUAGACCCAGCUACUCGAGAGGCUGAGGUGGGAUGGUCGCUUGAGCCUGGGAGGCAAAGGUUGCAAUGAGCCGAGAUUGCGCCGCUGCACUCCAGCCUGGGCAACAGAGCGAGACCCUGUCUCAAAAAUUUAAAAAGUUAAAAAAAUUAAAAUUAAAAACUGGCCUAGACUAGGGAAGUGAAAUGUCCAAACAUUUUGAACAGAUAAGAGGCAUGGUAGGAGGGAUGAAUUUUUAUAAAAGAAAUAUUGACAUUUGGUGGCGAAAUAUAAAUAUAUACAAAUCUUUUCCUCUACAAUACUUUUUUAUUGUCCUUGAAGGACCUACAAAAAUCACUUAGGUCGUUUAGGCACAUAAAAUGUGCCAUGCAUAACUUGGCUCAUAAAAUUGUCACCUUUGUUAUAUGGUUCCAGAGAUGUGAAGGUCUGUUUAAAAGUUAAAAACAUGCUGUUAAUGGAGACUCUAUUUUUCCCCAAUAUUUUUUAAAACCAAAAGACUCCUCAAGGAGUCUGAUUUUUUUUUCUCCCCUGGCCUUCAUCUGGACUCUUCCUUUUGGUGGCCUUUAAUGAAGUAGGUUGGAGACCCUUCAUACUGGGUAACCUCACACCUUGACCUGGGUAGUCAGUAGCACAGGGCCCAAUGCUUAGAAGGGCCUUGCAUUUGGUUUAAAACUCUGUUGCCGCAAUAUAUAUAUGUCUUUUUUGAGACAGGGUCUUGCUCUGUCACCCAGGCUGGAGUGCUGUGGCAUGUUCUUGGCUCACUGCAGCCUCCACCUCCUGGGUUCAGGCUAUCCUCCCACCUCAGCCUCCCUAGCAGCUGGAACUCACAGGCAUGCACCACCACGCCCACUAAUUUUUUAUUUUAUUUUUUUGAGACAGGGUCUUGUUCUGUCACCCAGGCUGGAGUGCAGUGAUGCAAUUUUGGCUCACUGCAACCUCUGCUUCCUGGGAUCAAGUGAUCCUCCCACCUCGGCCUCCUGAGUAGCUGGGACUACAAGCAUGUGCCACUGUGCCUGACCUAAUUUUUUAUUUUUUGUAGAGACAGGCUCUCACUAUGUUGCCCAGGCUGGUCUUGAACUCCUGGGCUUAAAUGAUCCUCCUACCUCAGCCUCCCAAAAUGCUGGGAUUACAGGCACGUGCCACCACACCCAGCAAACGCUUCAUAAUUUAAUAAGGGGCCCGUAUUUUCACUUUGCACUGAGCCCCACAAGAUAAGUAGCCAGGUCUAGUUAUACCCCCGCCUGAAGCCAACACUGACCUUCCCCAGCCCUCGGAGCUGUCCCCAGGCCUCACUAGUCUCAUCUCUCCAGUAGGAGGCCUUUGCCCUUGUGUAAGUCUUGCUUCUUCUCGUCAGGAGUGCCUGACUGCGUGCCUCGCUUCGAGCCUCCCGUCCCCUCUAGCCAGCUCAACAGCAUCUCCUUAUAUUCCCCUUCGGCCCUGGGGACCACUGGGAACAAAACAAAACGCAACCCGUUCCCUUGUGGCUGUCGGGCGGGCGGGCGUUGAGCCCUGUUCCUCACUCCAGCUGGUGUACCCCUCCGGGAGCCACGCCUCGCGCGGAGCGGGAGCCUUCAAAGAGGCCGCGCCUUCCUGGCUGCUCCCUUCGCAUCCUGAUCCAGUCCAAUGAUGUUUUUGCAAUUUUCCUGUGAGCUUGGUGGGAAAAGCUCAAAGAGACUCUGUCUUCCUUUCUGGCUUCCUUUCCAGACGGCGCAGCUUUCUCUCAGCUGCUCCCCUGCCCCACCUCUCUCGAGGAAAUCGGUCUCUUUCCUCUCCCCCUCACCCAAAAGGUCCAUUCCUGAGGCUUAUCCUGAAAUCAAGCCGUAGCGGAGCGGUGGGGGAUCCGAGGCACAAGCAACGGGGCCUCAUGAUGUUGCCUAGGCUGGGCUCCAGCUCCUGGAUUCAAGCAAUCCUCCCACCUUGGCCUCUCAGUGUUUUGGGAUUACAGGUGUGAGCCACCACGCCUGGUCUCAAGCCUUCGCUUUCGCAAUCAGCACUAAAGGCAGCCAGAAAUCAACCGUGCGCCACCCCCGACCUGAGAAACAAGUCUAAAUGUGUCCGGAAUUGGUGGGUUCUUAGUUUCACUGACUUCAAGAAUGAAGCCGCGGACCCUCGCGAAUGAAUACACAGGGGCUUAGAGGCAUGUGCUGCUACUGAG
Molecule: long non-coding RNA, 25780 nt
Filed under: Homo sapiens (human)
Lineage: Eukaryota; Metazoa; Chordata; Mammalia; Primates; Hominidae
Description: non-protein coding SRP14-AS1:28
Source: RNAcentral